This 1237-nucleotide long non-coding RNA is filed under the name Cyanistes caeruleus (blue tit). Its description in RNAcentral is "lncRNA (ENSCCEG00000007722.1)". The record is from RNAcentral. Lineage: Eukaryota; Metazoa; Chordata; Aves; Passeriformes; Paridae.
GAGGAGGAGACAAACGUCGAUACACAGACUGAUAGAGAAGAAGCCAUGGAAGUGGACGGAGAGGAUACUGGAGAGGAAGAGAUGGAUGUGGACAUGUACGAGACAGAGGAAGAGAUGGAGGUGGAAACGAAAGAUUCUAUUGAAGAGAUGGAUACUGAUCUAAAAGACAAGGAGGAAGACAUGGUCUUGGGAUGAAGACCGAUGCCAGCAGCAGAACAGGCAGGUGCUCCCCACAAGCAGAGUGGGUCCCCUGCUGCCAGCCUGGGGCCGGGCUGGGCACUCCCUGCUCAGGGACACGCUAGCCCAUGCACUGGAUUCUGCUGGCCAUCCCUGGCCUGGCCUGGGCUUGCUGUGGGUCACACAAGCCCUGUUCCAGUGCCUGGGCCACAGCCCCCAGCCAGGCUCCCUUCUGGCAGCAGAGUCCCACUGGGCCAGUGUCCCAGCCCGGCAGCACAUGGAACACCCUUCCGUGCCUGACUGCACUGACCGUGCUACUUGUUUUUCCUUCCGGGACUUAGGGACAUCACAGACACAGAUGCCACCCUGCUAUAAACAGUCUUUGAUUUUCACACCCCAGUUCUCUUUGCAUUUUCUUCGGGCACAUUUGCAAAGCUGUGGGUUGUUUCGGGAACAAUGUUUGCAGGACUCUAAAAAGAGUAUCAAAACCGCUCUGCCACACUCUCCGCUGCUGCUGCUGCCCCAAAAAGCACUGGCUGGCUUUGCUCACACAAUCACAGUUGUGGUGGCAUUUCUACCACACCACAGGACAGCGAUGUUUUCCCUCUUCUCCUGGAAAUACCUACAGCACUUGUGGGUAGCAAGGCAAACAUGAGCCUCUUUUAGUGGCCCUUGAAACUGGACAUGUAAAAUGAGGUACACAAAGCCACAGGCCAGCUGAACCUGGCAUCUCUGAAUGGGUCUUUACAUUCUUCCCAGGAAGAUGAAUGGCAAUCACUAUUUUGGCAGGGAGGAAAGUGCAUCAGCUAGCAAUUUGCUGUAGAAAAUGUGCUUUCUGCUCCUCUCACAGCCAAAACUCCUACCCAUUUCUUGGAAGUCCUUCUUAGAUAAGGACCGUGUUCAACUGAGUGACAGUGAAGCCAAAUGGCAAUGCCGCAAUCAAUUGUCCUGUACACAAUCUCCUUCAUCCACGUGGAAGGUUACCCACGGGCACACAAGAGGACGGAAGAAACCCAAAUGCAUCGUUGGACAUAAUAAAGUCAGACGUGUUGAGGGAUGA